Molecule: long non-coding RNA, 1817 nt
Organism: Lontra canadensis (Northern American river otter)
Lineage: Eukaryota; Metazoa; Chordata; Mammalia; Carnivora; Mustelidae
Exons: 2
Source: RefSeq, a predicted model, not a curated record
CGAAAGGGGCAGUCUUUGCCAGUAGAUCAGAGCUCUACCACACGCCUGGGGAGAAGGAAGGUCUGCAGAGAAGAGUAGGAGGCCCAAAGCCCACUCUUGAGUUCCCAGUGGAUUCUGAGAGAAGAGAGGAAGAAGAGGAGACAGACAGUCUGAAGGAAAGGUCGCAUCUUCCGUGAUUGUGACCUUUGACCAGAGUGAGGAGGAAACAUCUGGGACAGAAAAGCAGAGCCACUGCCUUUGUCACUAGAGGUGGGAUGAGUCACUGUGCAUGAAGCUGUGCCCCACAGUUCUGCUAGGGUCAGAGGUGGGCUGAGGGGUUGUGACACAGAACACACGAAUCAUCUGAUCUAAGGCCCAGCAUGGAGAGGGACAAGUAGACCCUGGAGGUUUGGUCAGGGACUGAUGGGAGGACAUGAUGAGGUCUCAGAGGGAAUACUGGUGAAGGAACAUUGGUUAAUGUUGUUGGGGAAGUCAGGGAGCACUGCAGAGCUCUGAAGGAGCACGGAGCACCCAGUCCAUGAGGUACACAAGCCGCAGGCUUCCGCAGCCGAGCACUGAGGAAUAGGGCCAAUCAUCCCUCAGCGUUCUGCUUUCAAGGGAUAAUCUGGAGCAGACUUUCUGCAGGGAGGCCUAGCGGAGACCCAGAGGCACCACCUCACGUGCCACCACAGGAAAAACUUGGGAAGUCUCUAAGGAGACCAGAGAGACCAUUUGAAUUAUUGCCUCAGACUCCAUUUUUUUUCCCUCUGCUCUCCGGGAAGAGAGACUCUGCAAAAGAAAAUCUAAUGAGUUAUAGAAAUUAGAGAAGACUCAGCGAGGUCUGCCACUGGGACCCAAAUAUAUCUGGACAUGUCUGGCACACUAGCAUGGUGGGCUGGCUGGAAAUCUAUUUGCUUGGAAGGUGAAAAAAGUCCUCCUGGGAGAUUAUUUUCAUUCUAAGGAAAGAAGAAACCAUGUUUGGUUUGGUCUAGUAACAAAGUUUUAGUGCCAGAAGGAAGAUGGAAUUGUCAUUCGACUCUGCCCCCAACUUGGCCCUCUGGACACACCAGGGAUCCUAGGAAGAUAGAAACUCUAUGUUACAACUCCAAGAACUAUUUCAUAAACUGCAGGGAGACUCUGGGGCCCAAGCAGCUAUGUGUUGGGGACCCUCCUGCUAAGCAACACUUGAGAGACCUACACUUCACUCCGCUUCUCCAUUUCAAGGGCUUGGUAUGUUGACAUUACCCAGAAAGUAGUAGAUGAAUUGCCACAACAGUCACAAUUACUCCCCUCCCGGCAAACACUUCACAAUUCCUCCCACAAAAAGGGGGAACCUACUUCCCCACCUUGAAUCUGGGUUGAUACUGUUGCUUUGGCCAACAGAAUGUAGCAGAAGUCACACUGUACCUUUUCAGACCCUGACCUCAAGAAGCCUUGCAUUCUUCUAUCUUCUCCACUGCCACGUGAGUAAGCCUGAGUUAGCCUGCUGGAAGGUGAGAGAUCUCUUGACCCAGAGCCAAGGCAACCCAGCUGUCCCAACUGAGGCUCCCCAGACAUGUGAAAGACCCAACCAAGAUCCGAAAGCCCUCUACCCAAUCCCGAGUUGACCGCUGAUGCAGGAAGAAAUCCAGCUGAAUCUAGCCCAGAUAGCCAACCAGUACAACCCCGAGCUAAAUAGACGGUUGCAUCUUAAGUCACUCAGGUCUGGGUUGUUCCCUAUACAGCAGUGACUGUUAAAGAACUUGACAGGAUAAAAAAUGGUAACUCUGGCCACUGAUGGAUGUGUUAAGUAACCUUAUUGGUGUAAUUGUUUUGCAAUAUACACAUAUAUCAAAUCA